This is a long non-coding RNA of Pseudopipra pipra, 339 nucleotides long. RefSeq lists it as uncharacterized. The transcript has 3 exons. The record is from RefSeq and is a predicted model, not a curated record. NCBI's taxonomy places the organism in Eukaryota, Metazoa, Chordata, Aves, Passeriformes, Pipridae.
CAUCGCCGCCAUCAUCAUCAUCAUCGGCCUCGUGGGAGUCGGUGUCUGGAAGCUCCGAUCCGGGAAGAGGGAGGGGAAGGGAUACAACCCCGCGCCCACCAGAAUCACAGCCUGAGCGAUCCUGGAGCUGGAUCCACCCCUUCCCUCUCCCUGCGGAAAGGCAGGAGCUGCUGGCAGAGCUCAUCCCGCUGCUCCCACCCACCCCGGCCCCCCUGCGGCUCUUCCCGAUGGAUCAACUUCCUGCUUUUUCCCGUGUGAAACCCAGGACCACAAUUAUUCCUGAGGCUUUAAUUUGGGUGUGAAAAUCUCCUGCUUUGGGCAAUAAAUCCUGGCUCCCUC